RNAcentral lists this ribosomal RNA (497 nucleotides) under uncultured bacterium. Its description in RNAcentral is "partial 16S ribosomal RNA". It matches the Rfam family "Bacterial small subunit ribosomal RNA", at positions 28 to 507 of the family's 1533-position model. The record is from RNAcentral.
GAUGAACGCUGGCGGCGUGCCUAAUACAUGCAAGUCGAGCGAACGGACGAGAAGCUUGCUUCUCUGAUGUUAGCGGCGGACGGGUGAGUAACACGUGGAUAACCUACCUAUAAGACUAGGAUAACUUCGGGAAACCGGAGCUAAUACCGGAUGAUAUUUUGAACCGCAUGGUUCAAAAGUGAAAGACGGUCUUGCUGUCACUUAUAGAUGUAUCCGCGCUGCAUUAGCUAGUUGGUAAGGUAACGGCUUACCAAGGCAACGAUGCAUAGCCGACCUGAGAGGGUGAUCGGCCACACUGGAACUGAGACACGGUCCAGACUCCUACGGGAGGCAGCAGUAGGGAAUCUUCCGCAAUGGGCGAAAGCCUGACGGAGCAACGCCGCGUGAGUGAUGAAGGUCUUCGGAUCGUAAAACUCUGUUAUUAGGGAAGAACAUAUGUGUAGGUAACUGUGCACAUCUUGACGGUACCUAAUCAGAAAGCCACGGCUAACUACGUG